GGGGGCGGGCGAGAGGCGCGGACGCCUGGNUCCGAGUUGUUGCAGAAACUCAGAAAUNCCCUUAAGUUGACCUGGCUCACGAUAAACGCUAGCGGCGUGCCUAACACAUGCAAGUCGAACGCGGUUUGGGGGGCGACUCCUAGACCGAGUGGCGGACGGGUGAGUAACACGUGGGUUAUCUACCUUGAGGUGAGGAAUACCGGCGAGAAAUCGCUGACAAGACCGCAUAGGUUUGGCAAACCAAACAAAGCCGAGCAAUCGGCGCCACAAGAUGAGCCUGCGGCCGAUUAGUUUGGUUGGUGGGGUAACGGCCUACCAAGACGACGAUCGGUAGCUGGUCUGAGAGGACGAUCAGCCACACUGGGAUUGAGAACGGCCCAGACUCCUACGGGGGGCAGCAGUGAGGAAUUUUCGUCAAUGGGGGCAACCCUGAACGAGCAACGCCGCGUGCAGGAAGAAGGUUUUCGGAUCGUAAACUGCUUUUCCCAGGGAAGAGAGAGGACGGUACCUGGGGAAGAAGCCCCGGCUAACUACGUGCCAGCAGCCGCGGUAAUACGUAGGGGGCAAGCGUUGUCCGGAUUUAUUGGGCGUAAAGCGCACGCAGGCGGUCUUGUCAGUUUCCAGUGACAGGUGGUGGCUUAACUGCCACAGGCCUGGAAAGACGGCAAGACUUGAGGGCAAGAGAGGGACGCGGAAUUCCAGGUGGAGCGGUGAAAUGCGUAGAGAUCUGGAAGAACACCGAAGGCGAAGGCAGCGUCCUGGUUUGUAUCUGACGCUCAAGUGCGAAAGCUAGGGGAGCGAACGGGAUUAGAUACCCCGGUAGUCCUAGCCGUAAACGAUGACCACUAGACGUGGGAGGUAUCGACCCCUUCCGUGUCGCAGCUUACGCAAGAAGUGGUCCGCCUGGGGAGUACGGUCGCAAGAUUAAAACUCAAAGGAAUUGACGGGGACCCGCACAAGCAGCGGAGCGUGUGGUUUAAUUCGAUGCAACGCGAAGAACCUUACCAAGGCUUGACAUAACCGAGAACGCCGCAGAAAUGUGGAACUCUUUGGACACUCGGUUACAGGUGGUGCAUGGUUGUCGUCAGCUCGUGUCGUGAGAUGUUGGGUUAAGUCCCGCAACGAGCGCAACCCUCGUCGCAUGUUGCCAGCACGUUAUGGUGGGAACUCAUGUGAGACUGCCGGGGUCAACUCGGAGGAAGGUGGGGAUGACGUCAAAUCAUCAUGCCCCUUAUGUCUUGGGCUUCACGCAUGCUACAAUGGCCGGUACAAAGGGCUGCGAUGUCGUAAGGCGGAGCGAAUCCCAAAAAGCCGGUCUCAGUUCGGAUUGAGGUCUGCAACUCGACCUCAUGAAGUCGGAGUCGCUAGUAAUCGCAGAUCAGCAACGCUGCGGUGAUACGUUCCCGGGCAUUGCACACACC
Molecule: ribosomal RNA, 1421 nt
Filed under: uncultured bacterium
Lineage: Bacteria
Description: bacterial SSU rRNA
Rfam family: Bacterial small subunit ribosomal RNA
Source: RNAcentral